CCCUUAGAUGUUCUGGGCCGCACACGCGCUACACUGAAGGAGGCAGCGUGUACUCCUGGAUCGAAAGAUUUGGGUAACCCGCGAAUCUCCUUCGUGCUAGGGAUUGAGGUUUGCAAUUAUCCUUCAUGAACGAGGAAUUCCCAGUAAGUGCAAGUCAUAAGCUUGCGCUGACUACGUCCCUGCCCUUUGUACACACCGCCCGUCGCUACUACCGAUUGAAUGAUUUAGUGAGGACUUCGGACUGGGGCCGAUGCGGCUUUCGGGCUGCGUCGGUAUUCUGGAAAGAUGUCCAAACUGUAUCAUUUAGAGGAAGUAAAANUCGUANCA
Molecule: ribosomal RNA, 327 nt
Filed under: uncultured eukaryote
Lineage: Eukaryota
Description: partial 18S ribosomal RNA
Rfam family: Eukaryotic small subunit ribosomal RNA
Source: RNAcentral